AUCAAGAUCAAGGUAUGAAGAAUAACUCUCAUAUUUAGUUUUGAUACAAUUUCUCCAAUGAUAAUAUCACCACGUUUUUUUGUUUUUUUCAUUUUUAUGAUUUCAUCUCUUAUCUUUCCAACAACUGCAAAGAAAGACAUAGAAUGCAUACAAAGUUGAAACAUAAUGAUAUGUUUUGAAGAAAGAAAACGGAAAACAAAACACAUACCAAUAAAAUUGAAGAACUUGAUUCUGGUAACAUAUUUGAGUGAUUAUACAACAGGUAUACCAUACAAUACAACAUUUAUAAAAUUUCUAUAACAUGAUUUAAUUCAGUUUCAUAUAUAUAUAUAUAUAUAUAUAUAUAUAUAGAAAAAGAUAAAUUUAGAAAAUGAUGAGUAAAAAUUAAAUAGAUCUACAAAAUAAAAAGAAGAAAACAUAGAGUGAUACAGUAUAGUUGAUGCAAUGAACUGUUUAGAGUACGAUAGUACUACCACGUAGAGAGUUGGAGUACAAAAUAAGAAAUAUCAUUAUUUAUGUUUAAAUUUAAAUUAGAAUAAUAUAGAAUUUAAAACCAAAAUCAUAAAAAUUUAUUUAUGCAAAAAUUUAUGAAAAUAUUACUGUUAUUAUAUUUAAUCAAGGAAAACGCAGAAGAAUAAUAGAUAAAAUAAUUAUUCUAAAAUAAAGCGAUCCAGAGAGAAGAAAAUAAAAGAUGAGCAAAAAGUAAAUAAAUUUAAAUUAAAAAGGAUCAAUUAAUAUAAAAUAAGAGGAACAAGAAAAUAAACAGAUCCCGAGAGAAAAGUCAUUAACAAGAAAAUAGAUUUUAUUUCAAAAACUUUUGUAAGAUCUAAAAUCUAAAAGAAAAAAAUCAGGCAUGUAACAAAUCAAGAAAA
Molecule: long non-coding RNA, 872 nt
Organism: Trifolium pratense (red clover)
Lineage: Eukaryota; Viridiplantae; Streptophyta; Magnoliopsida; Fabales; Fabaceae
Exons: 2
Source: RefSeq, a predicted model, not a curated record